UACGAAGGGUGCAAGCGUUACUCGGAAUUACUGGGCGUAAAGCGUGCGUAGGUGGUUCGUUAAGUCUGUCGUGAAAGCCCCGGGCUCAACCUGGGAAUGGCGAUGGAUACUGGCGAGCUAGAGUGCGGUAGAGGAGAGUGGAAUUCCCGGUGUAGCAGUGAAAUGCGUAGAGAUCGGGAGGAACAUCAGUUGCGAAGGCGGCUCUCUGGACCAGCACUGACACUGAGGCACGAAAGCGUGGGGAGCAAACAGG
Molecule: ribosomal RNA, 253 nt
Filed under: uncultured bacterium
Lineage: Bacteria
Also listed under: 1 other name
Description: partial 16S ribosomal RNA
Rfam family: Bacterial small subunit ribosomal RNA
Source: RNAcentral